GAUGAACGCUGGCGGCGUGCCUAAUACAUGCAAGUCGAGCGAACAGACGAGGAGCUUGCUCCUCUGACGUUAGCGGCGGACGGGUGAGUAACACGUGGAUAACCUACCUAUAAGACUGGGAUAACUUCGGGAAACCGGAGCUAAUACCGGAUAAUAUAUUGAACCGCAUGGUUCAAUAGUGAAAGACGGUUUUGCUGUCACUUAUAGAUGGAUCCGCGCCGCAUUAGCUAGUUGGUAAGGUAACGGCUUACCAAGGCAACGAUGCGUAGCCGACCUGAGAGGGUGAUCGUCCACACUGGAACUGAGACACGGUCCAGACUCCUACGGGAGGCAGCAGUAGGGAAUCUUCCGCAAUGGGCGAAAGCCUGACGGAGCAACGCCGCGUGAGUGAUGAUGGUCUUCGGAUCGUAAAACUCUGUUAUUAGGGAAGAACAAAUGUGUAAUUAACUAUGCACGUCUUGACGGUACCUAAUCAGAAAGCCACGGCUAACUACGUG
This 497-nucleotide ribosomal RNA is filed under the name uncultured bacterium. Its description in RNAcentral is "partial 16S ribosomal RNA". It matches the Rfam family "Bacterial small subunit ribosomal RNA", at positions 28 to 507 of the family's 1533-position model. The record is from RNAcentral.